UCUUUGGUGGUCCUGUGGCUAAGACUCUGCACUUCCAUUGUAGGGGCAUGGGUUCGAUUCCUGGUCAGAGAA
RNAcentral lists this transfer RNA (72 nucleotides) under Bos taurus (domestic cattle). It matches the Rfam family "tRNA". From Rfam's summary of the family: Transfer RNA (tRNA) molecules are approximately 80 nucleotides in length. The record is from Rfam by way of RNAcentral. Lineage: Eukaryota; Metazoa; Chordata; Mammalia; Artiodactyla; Bovidae. RNAcentral also lists the same sequence under 1 other name.